GACGUAGGAGGCGAGCGUUAUCCGGAUUCACUGGGCGUAAAGCGCAUGUAGGCGGUUGCACAAGUCCGUUGUUAAAGCCCCUGGCUCAACUGGGGGAGGUCAAUGGAGACUGUGCGACUUGAGGGCAAUAGAGGCACGUGGAACUCCCGGUGUAGCGGUGGAAUGCGUAGAGAUCGGGAAGAACACCAGUGGCGAAGGCGACGUGCAGGGUUGCACCUGACGCUGAGAUGCGAAAGUGUGGGGAGCAAACGGG
This 253-nucleotide ribosomal RNA is filed under the name uncultured bacterium. RNAcentral describes it as "partial 16S ribosomal RNA". It matches the Rfam family "Bacterial small subunit ribosomal RNA", at positions 524 to 776 of the family's 1533-position model. The record is from RNAcentral.